UAGGGAAUCUUCCGCAAUGGACGAAAGUCUGACGGAGCAACGCCGCGUGAGUGAAGAAGGAUUUCGGUUCGUAAAACUCUGUUGUUAGGGAUGAAAAAAUGUAUAGUAACUAUAUACAAAAGAGACGGUACCUAACCAGAAAGCCACGGCUAACUACGUGCCAGCAGCCGCGGUAAUACGUAGGUGGCAAGCGUUGUCCGGAAUUAUUGGGCGUAAAGCGCGCGCAGGUGGUUUAGAAAGUCUGAUGUGAAAGCCCACGGCUCAACCGUGGAGGGUCAUUUGAAACUAAUAAACUUGAGUGCAGGAGAGAAAAGUGGAAUUCCUAGUGUAGCGGUGAAAUGCGUAGAGAUUAGGAGGAACACCGGUGGCGAAAGCGGCUUUUUGGCCUGCAACUGACACUGAGGCGCGAAAGCGUGGGGAGCAAACAGG
Molecule: ribosomal RNA, 429 nt
Filed under: Verrucomicrobiota bacterium
Lineage: Bacteria; Pseudomonadati; Verrucomicrobiota
Description: Verrucomicrobia bacterium partial 16S ribosomal RNA
Rfam family: Bacterial small subunit ribosomal RNA
Source: RNAcentral